CAGCAGCCACGGUAAUACGUAGGGUGCGAGCGUUGUCCGGAAUUACUGGGCGUAAAGAGCUCGUAGGCGGUUUGUCGCGUCGUCUGUGAAAUUCUGCAGCUUAACUGUAGGCGUGCAGGCGAUACGGGCAGACUUGAGUACUACAGGGGAGACUGGAAUUCCUGGUGUAGCGGCGAAAUGCGCAGAUAUCAGGAGGAACACCGGUGGCGAAGGCGGGUCUCUGGGUAGUAACUGACGCUGAGGAGCGAAAGCGUGGGUAGCGAACAGGAUUAGAUACCCGAGUAGUCCCUGUCUCUUAUAC
RNAcentral lists this ribosomal RNA (301 nucleotides) under uncultured bacterium. RNAcentral describes it as "partial 16S ribosomal RNA". It matches the Rfam family "Bacterial small subunit ribosomal RNA", at positions 509 to 807 of the family's 1533-position model. The record is from RNAcentral.